GGCCGGCUAGCUCAGUUGGUUAGAGCGUGGUGCUAAUAACGCCAAGGUCGUCGGUUCGACCCCGGCGUUGGCCA
Laetiporus sulphureus 93-53 is the source of this 74-nucleotide transfer RNA. It matches the Rfam family "tRNA". Rfam says of the family: Transfer RNA (tRNA) molecules are approximately 80 nucleotides in length. Their secondary structure includes four short double-helical elements and three loops (D, anti-codon, and T loops). Further hydrogen bonds mediate the characteristic L-shaped molecular structure. tRNAs have two regions of fundamental functional importance: the anti-codon, which is responsible for specific mRNA codon recognition, and the 3' end, to which the tRNAs corresponding amino acid is attached (by aminoacyl-tRNA synthetases). tRNAs cope with the degeneracy of the genetic code in two manners: having more than one tRNA (with a specific anti-codon) for a particular amino acid; and 'wobble' base-pairing, i.e. permitting non-standard base-pairing at the 3rd anti-codon position. The record is from Rfam. Lineage: Eukaryota; Fungi; Basidiomycota; Agaricomycetes; Polyporales; Laetiporaceae.